RNAcentral lists this unclassified non-coding RNA (254 nucleotides) under Hevea brasiliensis (rubber tree). The record is from RNAcentral. Lineage: Eukaryota; Viridiplantae; Streptophyta; Magnoliopsida; Malpighiales; Euphorbiaceae.
AAAAAAAAGAAGGAAUUAAGAGUUUUAGUGAUGUGAAAAUCAACUGUCUUUAUUAAAGGGCAUUAGCCAUUUAGAUAGAUAGGAAGUUUAGAAAAAAGGAUUGGAGAUGCAGAAAGGGAAAGGAGAAUGCUGCUUAGGAGAGAUGGUUUAAGAGUUAAUAAGAAAGAAAUCGAGUUCAAACCAAAUAGAAGAAAAACAAAAAGGGAAAAUUUAUCAACCUCAAAAUUUGAUCUGGUGGGGUUAUGGUGUGGGCG